This 330-nucleotide ribosomal RNA is filed under the name uncultured bacterium. RNAcentral's name for it is "bacterial SSU rRNA". It matches the Rfam family "Bacterial small subunit ribosomal RNA", at positions 1045 to 1376 of the family's 1533-position model. The record is from RNAcentral.
AUGGCUGUCGUCAGCUCGUGUCGUGAGAUGUUGGGUUAAGUCCCGCAACGAGCGCAACCCUUAAGCUUAGUUGCCAUCAUUAAGUUGGGCACUCUAAGUUGACUGCCGGUGACAAACCGGAGGAAGGUGGGGAUGACGUCAAAUCAUCAUGCCCCUUAUGAUUUGGGCUACACACGUGCUACAAUGGACAAUACAAAGGGCAGCUAAACCGCGAGGUCAAGCAAAUCCCAUAAAGUUGUUCUCAGUUCGGAUUGUAGUCUGCAACUCGACUACAUGAAGCUGGAAUCGCUAGUAAUCGUAGAUCAGCAUGCUACGGUGAAUACGUUCCCG